Molecule: ribosomal RNA, 448 nt
Filed under: uncultured bacterium
Lineage: Bacteria
Description: partial 16S ribosomal RNA
Rfam family: Bacterial small subunit ribosomal RNA
Source: RNAcentral
UGGGGAAUUUUGGACAAUGGGCGCAAGCCUGAUCCAGCCAUGCCGCGUGCGGGAAGAAGGCCUUCGGGUUGUAAACCGCUUUUGNCAGGGAAGAAAUCUUCUGAGUUAAUACCUCGGGAGGAUGACGGUACCUGAAGAAUAAGCACCGGCUAACUACGUGCCAGCAGCCGCGGUAAUACGUAGGGUGCAAGCGUUAAUCGGAAUUACUGGGCGUAAAGCGUGCGCAGGCGGUUUUGUAAGACAGAGGUGAAAUCCCCGGGCUCAACCUGGGAACUGCCUUUGUGACUGCAAGGCUUAAGUGCGGCANAGGGGGAUGGAAUUCCGCGUGUAGCAGUGAAAUGCGUAGAUAUGCGGAGGAAACACCGAUGGCGAAAGGCAAUCCCCUGGGCCUGCACUGACGCUCAUGCACGAAAAGCGUGGGGAGCAAAACAGGAUUAGAUACCCUGGU